UCAGAAAUGCAGAUUUUCUAAGGUGAACCC
This 30-nucleotide non-coding RNA is filed under the name Rattus norvegicus (Norway rat). Lineage: Eukaryota; Metazoa; Chordata; Mammalia; Rodentia; Muridae. The record is from RNAcentral.